UUCACAAAUAUGGGAACAUUAUUUAAAGGGUAAAUCUCCAACACUAUCCUUUAAAACAUCACAAAGUCCUUGUCUGCAAUAUCUGAAUAUAUAUACUUUGCAAAAUUGUUCACAGAUAUCCAACCCUUAAACACGAAUAAAGAAUAAAACAAGUAAUGUACUGAUAUGUGCUUUUUUUUUCACCUGCAGCUCAUUCAUUAGCAUCUCCUCACCAAAAAAACUGCAGUGACAUCACUAGUAAUUUAACACUUAUAUCACUUCUUCCCUUUUUAUUGAUUCACACAUGUACCAUUUACUUGCCACCUUACUGAUUUUAUAAAGCCAUGUCCCUUUGUUGCUACUAUGCCAUCUUCCCUGCCUUUUUUAUUUAUUUAUUUAAUUCGUUCAGAAUUGUUCAGAAUUUAUCACCUUCCCAUUGACACUUGAAUAUAGAAACUGCUGCCCUCAAGAGGUUGUAAAUGGUAGUUUCCCACCUAAUUUACAAAGGUCCAACCACUAGUUUGUUUUCCCCUUCCUGUCUGCUUCAGAGCUGCUGCAGUAAACUUCAUCUUAAAUGUUGUGUGGAGGGAAGCGUUUAUUUUGAAGUGUUUUAAUUACAAUUAACAACAACAACCACAACAACAUGAAGAUCAUUCAGCUUCAAAUCUAAUCAAUUCAGCUAACUGAGUGUCACAAUCAUACAGUGAUUGAGUUUAUUGAUCAGAAUCAGAAACAAUGUCAGAUUAUCAUCAUCAUAUCUGCUCUGAUGAUCGGGCUUCUGCUCAUUGUGCUGAUCGUGUUUGCUGUUGGAAAAACAGAACGGAUGGAAAAACACAUUGAUGAUGUUGAUCUACUGCAGACACGAGUGAUAUAUCAGCUUCAAGAUUAAAACUGAUUUAACAUCACAAUAAAAUAAAUUAUGUGUCAGUUCUGUGACUAUAUAACAUGUUCAUAAAUAACAUGCAGUUUAUCAUGUGCUUAAUAUACUUAUUAUAUGCUUUUUGUGUUUGCUCAUCUGCAAUAUGUCAGAAAUUUCCUGUCAGAUAUUAAAUAGACAUUUUAAAAAAUGUCUUUAAGAUGUUAAUGAUUUAAAAUGUAAAAUAAGAUCUAUUUUAUAUACAUGAUGUAAGAUGUUUUUUCCAGAUUAAGUGCGCUUUAGCAGACAUCUUAGAGAUGUACCUGAUCUGAACGUGAUUCAAGGCCCUGAUAUACUCAUGGCGAAUUUCUUUUUCGUUCUUCACUUAGAAGCAAUCUUUUAUAUUUUAGUUUGUGUUGGAGUCUGUGUGGUGUUGAGCGUUUGUUGACAUUAGUGAACUCAAUCUAUAAGCUAACAUUAGCUAGAAUUGCAUACAGUGGGUGCAUCUUAAUCAGCUCCUGAGUGCACUGAUCAGGGAGUCAGACAUUUUAUGGGCUGUCCUAAUUUCAAAAAGCUAUCAGUGCACUGAAACGUUCACUCCCUAAAAAGUCCCACAAUGCACCUUGAAAACCAGGAAGCAUCGAUGCUCACUAUGGGUGCUUCUCAAACGGAAGGCAGCAUCCUAGUGAAGCCGUGUUUUUCUUAGUCCUUUCGAGGCUUGUAGGCUAGACUCCUCAACAUUUUAAGGAUCCUUCAAAUUGAGACAGGCUUCAGCGGCACUUGAUGACGUGGUAGCCGAGAUAUGCAGCCUUACAAGGAUGUAGCCUUCUGUUUAACAUUAACAAAGAUUAUUAAAUGCUGUAGAAGUAUGUAGUUAACUAAUGUUAAUGAACCUUAUUGUAAAGUGUUACCCAAGUAACAAGCUAGAGCUUCGGCGAUUCCAGAGAAGUACGACACGUUUGUCCAAACAGUGUUUCAUUCAGCAUUCAUUAACACUAUUUUUUCAAGUAUCGUAACUCUUCCUCAUGUCAGUGUGCCAAGUGCACCUCGAUGACAUCAGACAAAAGUGACGUCAACAACAGCCUCAUGAAAUGAUCAGACAAUUAACGAAAUAUCAGGAAUCCUGAGUAUAUAAGAGAGAAAUUGACUGUCACGUGAUUUACAGGGAAUGUUUGCAUAUUGGCUGAUGACCUUCUGAAUCUUCACCAUUAAUUAACCAUAACUUAUAAUGCUUUUGCUGCCAGUCUUUUUAUCAACAAUGAUUUGUUUGUCUGUAAUUUUGUUCAUCAGUAAAAAAGCACCCCAUGACUUUCAAAGAUCUAGAAACAGUGAUCAUUAAAAUAAAGAUGAAUGAUUUAAU
Molecule: long non-coding RNA, 2195 nt
Organism: Megalobrama amblycephala (Wuchang bream)
Lineage: Eukaryota; Metazoa; Chordata; Actinopteri; Cypriniformes; Xenocyprididae
Exons: 3
Source: RefSeq, a predicted model, not a curated record